AGAGUUUGAUCCUGGCUCAGGACGAACGCUGGCGGCGCGCCUAACACAUGCAAGUCGAACGAGAGAGAGGGAGCUUGCUUCCUCGAUCGAGUGGCGAACGGGUGAGUAACGCGUGAGGAACCUGCCUCAAAGAGGGGGACAACAGUUGGAAACGACUGCUAAUACCGCAUAAGCCCACGGCUCGGCAUCGAGCAGAGGGAAAAGGAGCAAUCCGCUUUGAGAUGGCCUCGCGUCCGAUUAGCUAGUUGGUGAGGUAAUGGCCCACCAAGGCGACGAUCGGUAGCCGGACUGAGAGGUUGAACGGCCACAUUGGGACUGAGACACGGCCCAGACUCCUACGGGAGGCAGCAGUGGGGAAUAUUGCACAAUGGGGGAAACCCUGAUGCAGCGACGCCGCGUGGAGGAAGAAGGUCUUCGGAUUGUAAACUCCUGUUGUUGAGGAAGAUAAUGACGGUACUCAACAAGGAAGUGACGGCUAACUACGUGCCAGCAGCCGCGGUAAAACGUAGGUCACAAGCGUUGUCCGGAAUUACUGGGUGUAAAGGGAGCGCAGGCGGGCGAUCAAGUUGGAAGUGAAAUCCAUGGGCUCAACCCAUGAACUGCUUUCAAAACUGAUUGUCUUGAGUAGUGCAGAGGUAGGCGGAAUUCCCGGUGUAGCGGUGGAAUGCGUAGAUAUCGGGAGGAACACCAGUGGCGAAGGCGGCCUACUGGGCACCAACUGACGCUGAGGCUCGAAAGUGUGGGUAGCAAACAGGAUUAGAUACCCUGGUAGUCCACACCGUAAACGAUGAUUACUAGGUGUUGGAGGAUUGACCCUUUCAGUGCCGCAGUUAACACAAUAAGUAAUCCACCUGGGGAGUACGACCGCAAGGUUGAAACUCAAAGGAAUUGACGGGGGCCCGCACAAGCAGUGGAGUAUGUGGUUUAAUUCGACGCAACGCGAAGAACCUUACCAAGUCUUGACAUCCUGCGACGAUGCUAGAAAUAGUAUUUUCCUUCGGGACGCAGAGACAGGUGGUGCAUGGUUGUCGUCAGCUCGUGUCGUGAGAUGUUGGGUUAAGUCCCGCAACGAGCGCAACCCUUAUGGUCAGUUACUACGCAAGAGGACUCUGGCCAGACUGCCGUUGACAAAACGGAGGAAGGUGGGGAUGACGUCAAAUCAUCAUGCCCUUUAUGACUUGGGCUACACACGUACUACAAUGGCGUUAAACAAAGAGAAGCAAGACCGCGAGGU
This 1234-nucleotide ribosomal RNA is filed under the name metagenome. Its description in RNAcentral is "bacterial SSU rRNA". It matches the Rfam family "Bacterial small subunit ribosomal RNA", at positions 8 to 1263 of the family's 1533-position model. The record is from RNAcentral.